Long non-coding RNA from Lagopus muta (rock ptarmigan), 2824 nucleotides. RefSeq lists it as uncharacterized. The record is from RefSeq and is a predicted model, not a curated record. NCBI's taxonomy places the organism in Eukaryota, Metazoa, Chordata, Aves, Galliformes, Phasianidae. The transcript is spliced from 3 exons.
GGCGGGCGUCCUGCAAGGAGGAGCGCACCCAGAAAACAGUACCAUCUUUCAUUACUUAUCCCCAGCGUUGAUCUCUUUCUCUCCUGGUUCCUCAUUGGCUGAGUGCUUCAGGUCCAGCAAAUGAGAUGAAGAAAUCAGCAGCUGGCAGUUGGUGUUCCUGCUUCAGCCUGAGAAAUCCAUCUUCUGUGGCUGAAUGCAAACUGCAGUGCAAUCCCAGGAGCCCUCAGAAAUAGCCCUGGCAGGUGAAUCUAAGCAGUUUUGACCCAGAAGACCCAGGCCAAGUAGUGGUGCACUGCGUGCUUCCUUCUCAUCUUUUCCCCCUGACUACUCGCCUGUGGUCUGUGUGCUGUGUGCAAUUGCCAAUUUAUUCCCAAUGCUUGCUGACCUGUUGGACAAUCUCUGCAAUAAAAUGAAUUCCCUGGUUGAAGGGUAUUGUUGCAGGACACUCAAACCUUGGAAUAAUCUCCUGCAAAAGUACCUUGGUUACUUCCUUUGCUCUAUUGGUCCUGCAAGGGAAUGCUUCUGGUCACCCUGAGAGGGUACUGGUUAGAACUAGCAUAUAUCAAAACCCUCAUUUUUCCUGGCAGUUCAAAAAAAAAAUCAAUUUGCAAUUGUUGUCCUGGAAGGUUCCCUUUCCAACAAGCCCCACUUGUACCCUGUUCCUGGUACUAGGAUUGUACAGUUACUUUCUGGUGUCUGUACCCCCCAUGUUUUAUUAUGUUCCCUUAGAACCAAAUUCUAUACAAUACUAACGGGCACAGCAGUGUGUCCAUCUGGGUAUGCACCCAUCUGUCAGCUUGCCCUCUUCCCUUCAUUAAUUAGAUUCCUAUCCUUUCUAGAGUACCUUAUAGGUUCUGACUAAGGUUCAGGUAUUUCAAGUUUACCGUCUGGAAUUAAAGCCGUUCACCAAUUUCUUUUCCUUCAGCUGCCUGUUUUGCCACCUGAUCCAUCAUCAUAUUUCCAGUUUCCUGUACACUGUCACUCUUCUGAUGUCCUUUACAAUGUAUAACAGCCAUGAUGUUCUUUGGUAGAUUUACAUCAUGCUGAAUUUGUUUUCCUUGUGUGUAAACAAUCCUUGCUCUUUCCAGAUGGUACCACAAGUGGGUACCACCCCAAAAGCAUAUUUAGCAUCCGUCCAUAUAUUUAAGGUUCUUGUCAAGGCAAUUAUUUCAGCCUUCUGAGUGGAAGUCCCCACAGGUAAUGGUUGUGCUUCAAUUACCCUGUCAGUAGCAGUUACUGCACGUCCUGCCUUACGGUUUCCUUGUCUUCACAAAACUGCUUCCAUUGAUGAAUCCAGGACUCCUCAGCAUCGUCCAACGGUUCCUCCUGUAGCUCUGACCAACUUGUACAGACAGCCUCCAUGCAGUCGCACACUGCUGGCUUGGAGGCAGCUCUGCGUUGGCAUUCUGGGUGUUCAGCAAGUUGCUUCCUUCUCUUUGAUCAGUUGUUCUUUCUGUUGAGCAACUUGAUAGCCAUUUAAAUCAAGAAAUUCAGCAAGCUCACAGUCUAUUGUACACAGUCCUUUGUUACUGUAGCAUCCACGUACUGCAGUAAAGUUCCACUGUGAGAUGGUGAACCCAAAUCUCAGGCUCACGAGUUGACCAGUUCUCAAAAAUCACUGGGCUGUUCUCACAACCCUGGGUAUCACUGUGCAGGUUAACUGAAUUAUUAUUAUUAUUACUUUUAAUUAUUAUCUUUUUCUUCUCUCCAUAUUUGAGUUUUCCUAUUCAAAGGCAAAUAAUUUUAGACUUUCUUUUGCAAAACCAGGCAGAAAAAGGUGUACUUCAAGUCCAGAACGGUGAACCCCACCUGCUUAUUCCUUAACUUGGUUAAUAAAGAUAUACACCAUGAGUUGUAUAUAUUCAACUUUUCUAUUAAUUGCCCUCAAAUCUUGUACCAAACUAUAGCUCUUGCCAUCCAAUUUUUCAUUUGCAAGAUUGGGUGUUGUAUUUGGAUUUCUAUCCAAUUAGUAAUCCAAAAUCCAAAAGGUUAUUUUUAUUUCUUUUAUCCUCCUACAAUCUUGUAUCCUCAAAGGGCAUUGCUUUACCCUGGUUGGGCUGGCUCCCAUCUUUAACUUAACUUUCAUUGGGCUGCACUUUUGGCUCUGCCAGGCAUCCCUGAUGCCUGCAAUCCUGUGUAUACACAAUGUAGGAUUUACGUAACUUCUGGGAGUACAACAUUGCUUUUCCCAGUUUGUGUUAAAGCCAGACUUAACAUUUUCAGUCCAUUGCUCUUGCUUGACAAGUAGUUCCAAUCGUCUCUACUGAAUUUAAUCUCUACAUUUAACUAUUCUAACAUGUCAUGCCCAAAUAAUCAUUUUGGAGAACCUGGCAUGUACAAGAAUUUAUAUAUUCCUACUUGUUCUCCUAGCCUGUAUUUAACUGGUCCAAAAAAAAAAGUAAACUUCUCUUGCCAGUAGCUGCUACAACUAUUACAAAAAUCAUCUACGGGUAACAGUAAGACGCACCCAAAGGUACCAGAAAAUAAACCUCUUCAACCUGCUUCCCCUGCUGCUUUCAGUCCUGGCAGGGUGGAACUCUCCCUGAGCCCUUCCAGGCUCCCCUUACCUCUUCUUCUAGGUAAGGACAUCCCUGACAACCUUGCUCAACUUUGCCUUCCUCAGUUUGUUUUUCCCAAACCCUUUUCACUUUCCAAAUUCUCAUCAUCACAGCCAUUACUAACAUUCUAUUUCAGUUUCACUCCCUUCUCUCCCCAGGCUUCCAGUGCUCACACUGGAUAUCGGGUUUCCUCAGCUCUGCAGAUGCCGGCUAUUCUCACUUCCAAUGUCCCGUCCCAUUCCCAUUCACAAGCACUGCACCCUUCA